GUUGCUUAUGCUCUGGUGGAACAAGGUUAGAAAGCUGAGAGUAGAAUGCAGCCAGAAAUCUAUUUGGAGAUUCUCUGGGUGGAGAUGACAUGCCCUCUGAUUCUAUUUUCUAUAGCGACAAACAGUCUGAUUGGUUGACUGGUUUUGUUCUCUAUACGUAAAAAGCCAAGGCUCGCCAAACACUGAGGGAGUGGAGUCUUUAUUCCUCUGUGGAAGCAUGUAGUUUUGGGAAGAUCACAGCAGAUACAGGCAUUUGCCCUGGACCAGCAGGAGUAGACCAGGGAUGUUGUUGUCUAGCCCUUUCAGAAGCAGCAUGGACCAUCAGAGAGUUGAGAGAGGGAACUAAGCUGAAGCUGUGGAAACAUAAAGGUUCCGUUCGGACCGUGCAACGGCAAGAAGGAACUGGAGAGGCAGUUGGUCCAACCCAUCCUUUAUCCCCUUGGAGGCACGAGGCGAGCCAGGGUGCAUGUGCAGACCAAUGGACACUGCUUUCAAAUUCUCUGGCUCCAGGCGCAUGUGUAAUCCAUAGCGGAAUACAACAGGGACCAUCACUCGAAGAAUAAGAGUUCUUUACAAUGCUUAGAGAUUAUCAGAAAGUCCCUGAGAUAUGGGCACUGAGAUCUUGAAAAAAUGCUGUAAAUACACACAAUACGGGCUUCCUUAUAACUAUAUGUGCUAAAGACAGCUGCGCCAAUGAAAUGCCACUAGAAGCCACCCGGUUAUCAUUCUGUCAGAACAAGUACAAUCAGACAUGUCUUCUCUCUGGAACAAUGAUAGUUUACCUGAUGAGAAGUAGGAGUGUGCUGCAUGGGACCUAGAAUUCUUGGGUUUGGUAGACCCACUGGGCCUACCCUGCGUUGAGCCUGCUGCCUCUGAGCCAUGACCUGCUGCUGCAUGUGCUGGAGUCGUAGUUGAGCUAAACUGAUCUGUGUUGGGAACUUAGACAGUUGGUUUGAAGGUAAGCCACUUUGUGGCUGUAAAUUUGGUUCCAUCACAGGGCUCUUGGGCAUGUGUGGUGGGGUUUCUU
Molecule: long non-coding RNA, 1027 nt
Organism: Mauremys mutica (yellowpond turtle)
Lineage: Eukaryota; Metazoa; Chordata; Testudines; Geoemydidae
Exons: 3
Source: RefSeq, a predicted model, not a curated record